Molecule: ribosomal RNA, 111 nt
Filed under: Flavobacteriales bacterium
Lineage: Bacteria; Pseudomonadati; Bacteroidota; Flavobacteriia; Flavobacteriales
Source: RNAcentral
UAGGUGCCUAUAUCGGUGGUGUCCACCUCUUCCCAUUCCGAACAGAGAAGUUAAGCCCACCAGAGCCGAUGGUACUGCGGUAACACGUGGGAGAGUAGGUCGGUGCCAAAU